Molecule: non-coding RNA, 21 nt
Filed under: Caenorhabditis elegans
Lineage: Eukaryota; Metazoa; Nematoda; Chromadorea; Rhabditida; Rhabditidae
Source: RNAcentral
UUGUUGCAGAAAAUUGAAAAA